UACGUAGGGACCAAGCGUUGUUCGGAUUUACUGGGCGUAAAGGGCGCGUAGGCGGCAUGACAAGUCACUUGUGAAAUCCCCCGGCUUAACCUGGGAACUGCGUCUGAUACUGGAAGGCUUGAGUGCGGGAGAGGGAUGUGGAAUUCCAGGUGUAGCGGUGAAAUGCGUAGAUAUCUGGAGGAACAUCGGUGGCGAAGGCGGCAUCCUGGACCGGUAUUGACGCUGAGGCGCGAAAGCCAGGGGAGCAAACGGG
Molecule: ribosomal RNA, 253 nt
Filed under: uncultured bacterium
Lineage: Bacteria
Description: partial 16S ribosomal RNA
Rfam family: Bacterial small subunit ribosomal RNA
Source: RNAcentral